This 449-nucleotide ribosomal RNA is filed under the name uncultured bacterium. RNAcentral's name for it is "partial 16S ribosomal RNA". It matches the Rfam family "Bacterial small subunit ribosomal RNA", at positions 30 to 523 of the family's 1533-position model. The record is from RNAcentral.
AUUAAACGCUGGCGGCAUGCCUAACACAUGCAAGUCGAACGAGACCUUCGGGCCUAGUGGCGCACGGGUGCGUAACGCGUGGGAAUCUGCCCUCUGGUUCGGAAUAAAUCAGGGAAACUUGAGCUAAUACCGGAUAAUGACUUCGGUCCAAAGAUUUAUCGCCUGAGGAUGAGCCUGCGUCGGAUUAGCUAGUUGGUGAGGUAAAGGCUAACCAAGGCGCCGAUCCGUAGCUGGUCUGAGAGGAUGAUCAGCCACACUGUGACUGAGACACGGCCCAGACUCCUACGGGAGGCAGCAGUGGGGAAUAUUGGACAAUGGGCGAAAUCCUGAUCCAGCAAUGCCGCGUGAGUGAUGAAGGCCUUAGGGUUGUAAAGCACUUUUACCCGGGAUGAUAAUGACAGUACCGGGAGAAUAAGCCCCGGCUAACUCCGUGCCAGCCGCCGCAGUAA